GACGAACGCUGGCGGCGUGCUUAACACAUGCAAGUCGAACGGAAAGGCCCUGCUUUUGUGGGGUGCUCGAUUGGCGAACGGGUGAGUAACACGUGAGUAACCUGCCCUUGACUUUGGGAUAACUUCAGGAAACUGGGGCUAAUACCGGAUAGGAUCUCCUGCUGCAUGGUGGGGGUUGGAAAGUUUCGGCGGUUGGGGAUGGACUCGCGGCUUAUCAGCUUGUUGGUGGGGUAGUGGCUUACCAAGGCUUUGACGGGUAGCCGGCAUGAGAGGGGGGACGGCGACAUUGGGACUGAGAUACGGAGCAGAAUGGUACGGGAGGCAGCAGUGGGGAAUAUUGCAGAGUGGGCGGAAGCCUGAUGCAGCAACGCCGCGUGCGGGAAGCCGGCCUUCGGGUUGUGAACCGCUUUCGAAUGUAACGAAGCGUGAGUGACGGUAAUGGGUAAAGAAGCACCGGCUAACUACGUG
This 468-nucleotide ribosomal RNA is filed under the name uncultured bacterium. RNAcentral's name for it is "partial 16S ribosomal RNA". It matches the Rfam family "Bacterial small subunit ribosomal RNA", at positions 28 to 507 of the family's 1533-position model. The record is from RNAcentral.